Molecule: ribosomal RNA, 632 nt
Filed under: uncultured bacterium
Lineage: Bacteria
Description: bacterial SSU rRNA
Rfam family: Bacterial small subunit ribosomal RNA
Source: RNAcentral
UGCAGUCGAGCGGAUGACGGGAGCUUGCUCCUUGAUUCAGCGGCGGACGGGUGAGUAAUGCCUAGGAAUCUGCCUGGUAGUGGGGGACAACGUUUCGAAAGGAACGCUAAUACCGCAUACGUCCUACGGGAGAAAGCAGGGGACCUUCGGGCCUUGCGCUAUCAGAUGAGCCUAGGUCGGAUUAGCUAGUUGGUGGGGUAAUGGCUCACCAAGGCGACGAUCCGUAACUGGUCUGAGAGGAUGAUCAGUCACACUGGAACUGAGACACGGUCCAGACUCCUACGGGAGGCAGCAGUGGGGAAUAUUGGACAAUGGGCGAAAGCCUGAUCCAGCCAUGCCGCGUGUGUGAAGAAGGUCUUCGGAUUGUAAAGCACUUUAAGUUGGGAGGAAGGGCAGUAAGNUAAUACCUUGCUGUUUUGACGUUACCGACAGAAUAAGCACCGGCUAACUCUGUGCCAGCAGCCGCGGUAAUACAGAGGGUGCAAGCGUUAAUCGGAAUUACUGGGCGUAAAGCGCGCGUAGGUGGUUCGUUAAGUUGGAUGUGAAAGCCCCGGGCUCAACCUGGGAACUGCAUCCAAAACUGGCGAGCUAGAGUACGGUAGAGGGUGGUGGAAUUUCCUGUGUAGCGGUGA